Molecule: ribosomal RNA, 370 nt
Filed under: Askenasia sp.
Lineage: Eukaryota; Ciliophora; Litostomatea; Cyclotrichida; Mesodiniidae
Description: partial small subunit ribosomal RNA
Rfam family: Eukaryotic small subunit ribosomal RNA
Source: RNAcentral
AGCUCCAAUAGCGUAUAUUAAAGUUGUUGCAGUUAAAAAGCUCGUAGUUGAACUUCUGGCUGUGGCUCCAGCUGGCUUCGGUCGCUGGCGUUGCGGUCAUCCGCUUGGGAACUACGUUCGGACUUCACUGUUCGGCGUAAGGAACAGGCAUUUUACUUAGAAAAAAUUAGAGUGUUCAAGGCAGGCUAUCGCCCUGAAUACACAAGCUUGGAAUAAUGAAAUAGGACUUUUUCCAUUUUAUUGGUUAUUGGAAUUAGUAAUGAUUAAUAGGGACAGUUGGGGGCAUUAGUAUUUCGUUGUCAGAGGUGAAAUUCUUGGAUUUACGAAAGACUAACUUAUGCGAAAGCAUUUGCCAAGGAUGUUUUCAUUA